Molecule: long non-coding RNA, 1549 nt
Organism: Panthera uncia (snow leopard)
Lineage: Eukaryota; Metazoa; Chordata; Mammalia; Carnivora; Felidae
Exons: 2
Source: RefSeq, a predicted model, not a curated record
ACAAAAGGUGAGAAGAAGCUGAAGGCGAUGGUGUCCCAGUGCUGGAGGUGGUCGGGGAAGUGCCUGUGCUGCCCCCUGAAAAAUAAAAGAUGGAGAUGGACUGUCAGCUCUGGUGUCACUGGUCCAAGAUGGUUCCUUCCUGGUACAAGAGUUGUCAGCCCCUUGGACACGGAUGGUGGUCACACAAGCUCUUUUGGUUUGGGCCAUACAAACAGCUCCACUGUAUAUAUCAUCAGAACAACAGGACUGCACUUGGCCAUAACUGACCUGGGCUCUUCUUUUUUCUUCUCUACCUGUGUUGCCUCAGUCAACGUCCCCAAGCAUCACCUACUUGGUUAGUUCAUUUUGUCCCUGCCACUAGCAGUGUUCAGGCAGAAGCCCCUCCUGAAAUAGAAUCCUAUCUCCAGACUCUCCAAACAUGUGAACUCCCUUGCUGAUUCUAAAUGAAGACAUCUGAAGGUAAGACCAUACACUUGACUUCAUAAAAAUAGAAUAUCGACCUAUUUAGAAUUAAUGCUCAAGGUGUUGGCCAGAAAACAUCAAUUGGAAGUGUAAACUAAAAAACAAUGUUGUGGACAAUCAAAGCUCUAGUAAGAAUGAAGAAAUCAAAUGUGGUCUAAUGGAAAGGGAACUGCCCUGUCAAGAUGGAGACGCACUUCGGAAUCCUAAGCUCACUUCUGCCACCAUUUACCUGCAGAUAUGUGAGCAGACUUUGCUCUGUGCCUUGGUUUCUCUUUGUGUAAAAGGCAGAGGAUAAUGAAUCCCAUGCAUGCUUCUCCAUAGGAGAAAACAACUAUAUAGAAUACCCAUUCAAUAUAUUUUUUUAAACAGAAGGAUUUGGGUUUUUGCAAAACUGAGGCUAAUUCAACUAAGGGCUUUCCUUGCAAUGUUACCAACAAAUGGGUCUUCACGAAAGAGAAAUAAAAAUGACAGCAAGGACGGGAUGAAAAAAGCAUCUGUAACCUCAUUCAGACAGAAGAGUCUAGCUUCCAGCAACAGCAGCAGAAGCAGCAGUAGAAAACAGUCUUAGGGCCAUGUAUUUGACAUGCCAGAUAUUCAUGUGUCUGAAGCAGUGAGGUUAUAUGGACACUGGGUAAGUCAGUCAUUAUGUGGAGCUUAGGUUUCGUGUCAACACUGCCAAUACUCUCUUCACCAAAAGGGAAUUACUACAAGAUCAGUCUGCCACCGAAGUUUCCUCUAGAAGGUCAUCACUUUCUACUCCUUCUAAGACACGAGACAGUUCAACACAGGUGGCUAUGUCUCUUUUCUUCGUUUCAUACGUGAUACUGUCCAGAGCUACCAGAAUUCUUAGUUCUUAAGGGAGGAGGGAGUGAAUGUUGUUUCUUUUAUGUCCUUUGUUAAUGUGAAGAAACGAAGCCACAUAUUUUUUAAUAAUGAGAAUCUGGAUCAAGUUCAAUGUAUAGUUCAAAAAUGGAUUCCAAUUAAACAAUUGAACAGAAUUUUGGCUUUUCCUCCAGCCCCAUCCCACUACCAUAUGUAUCUAGUAAUUCCAAGUUCAUCCCCCACCAAUAAAAAAUGGACUCCCUAA